RNAcentral lists this ribosomal RNA (511 nucleotides) under uncultured bacterium. RNAcentral's name for it is "bacterial SSU rRNA". It matches the Rfam family "Bacterial small subunit ribosomal RNA", at positions 1 to 518 of the family's 1533-position model. The record is from RNAcentral.
CCUUGGCGUCUCAGAGAAUUUGAUCUUGGUCAGGAUGAACGCUGGCGGCGUGCUUAACACAUGCAAGUCGAACGGUGCUUAAUGAAACCUAGUGAUUUAAGCACAGUGGCGGACGGGUGAGUAACGCGUGGGUAACCUGCCGCAUGCAGGGGGACAACAGAGGGGAACUUCUGCUAAUACCGCAUAAGCGCACGGGAUCGCAUGAUCCGGUGUGAAAAGAAUUGUCGGCAUGCGAUGGACCCGCGUCUGAUUAGGCAGUUGGUGAGGUAACGGCCCACCAAACCUACGAUCAGUAGCCGGCCUGAGAGGGUGAACGGCCACAUUGGGACUGAGACACGGCCCAAACUCCUACGGGAGGCAGCAGUGGGGAAUAUUGCACAAUGGGGGAAACCCUGAUGCAAGCGACGCCGCGUGAGUGAAGAAGCAUUUCGGUGCGUAAAGCUCUGUCAGCAGGAAAGAAAAUGACGGUACCUGACCAAGAAGCCCCGGCUAACUACGUGCCAGCCGCCGC